UUUCUUUUAGCUUAAGUUAAAGCAUCAAUUUGAAGAGUUGAGGAUAACUUUUUGUUAGAGAGAC
RNAcentral lists this transfer RNA (64 nucleotides) under Echinococcus shiquicus. Its description in RNAcentral is "tRNA-Phe". Lineage: Eukaryota; Metazoa; Platyhelminthes; Cestoda; Cyclophyllidea; Taeniidae. The record is from RNAcentral.